UACGAGGGGGGCGAGCGUUGUUCGGAAUUAUUGGGCGUAAAGCGCGCGCAGGUGGUGCGGUAAGUCUGCCGUGAAAUCUCCCGGCUCAACUGGGAGGGGGCGGUGGAGACUGCCGGACUAGAGGGACUCAGAGGCCGGUGGAAUUCCCGGUGUAGUGGUGAAAUGCGUAGAGAUCGGGAGGAACACCAGUGGCGAAGGCGGUUGCCUGGGGCUUUGCUGACGCUGAUGCGCGAAAGCGUGGGGAGCGAUCCGG
RNAcentral lists this ribosomal RNA (253 nucleotides) under uncultured bacterium. Its description in RNAcentral is "partial 16S ribosomal RNA". It matches the Rfam family "Bacterial small subunit ribosomal RNA", at positions 524 to 776 of the family's 1533-position model. The record is from RNAcentral.